RNAcentral lists this transfer RNA (72 nucleotides) under Antennarius striatus (striated frogfish). RNAcentral describes it as "tRNA-Val". It matches the Rfam family "tRNA". Rfam says of the family: Transfer RNA (tRNA) molecules are approximately 80 nucleotides in length. Their secondary structure includes four short double-helical elements and three loops (D, anti-codon, and T loops). The record is from RNAcentral. RNAcentral also lists the same sequence under 1 other name. Lineage: Eukaryota; Metazoa; Chordata; Actinopteri; Lophiiformes; Antennariidae.
CAGAGCGUAACUUAAUAGCUAAAGUUUCUCCCUUACACUGAGAGGAUACCUGUGCAACUCGGGUCACUCUGA